This 494-nucleotide ribosomal RNA is filed under the name Gobius geniporus (slender goby). RNAcentral's name for it is "partial 16S ribosomal RNA". It matches the Rfam family "Bacterial large subunit ribosomal RNA", at positions 1948 to 2597 of the family's 2925-position model. Lineage: Eukaryota; Metazoa; Chordata; Actinopteri; Gobiiformes; Gobiidae. The record is from RNAcentral.
GUGCGAAGGUAGCGUAAUCACUUGUCUUUUAAAUGGAGACCUGUAUGAAUGGCACGACGAGGGCUGCGCUGUCUCCUUUGUCUAGUCAAUGAAAUUGAUCUGCCCGUGCAGAAGCGGGCAUAACACCAUAAGACGAGAAGACCCUAUGGAGCUUAAAACACCAAGACAGGCCGAGUAAAGGCCCUGCGACCCCUGGCGCCACGUCACACGACCACUGUCUGAUGUUUUCGGUUGGGGCGACCGCGGAGGAAAACCAACCCUCCGCAUGGAAUGGAAUAAUAGCCUUAAAUGAGGCCUACAAGCCCAAUCAGCAGAAAAUCUGACCACCAAGACCCGGCAAUGCCGAUCGACGGACCCAGUUACCCUAGGGAUAACAGCGCAAUCCCCUUCUAGAGCUCACAUCGACAAGGGGGUUUACGACCUCGAUGUUGGAUCAGGACUUCCUAAUGGUGCAGCCGCUAUUAAGGGUUCGUUUGUUCAACGAUUAAAGUCCU